RNAcentral lists this ribosomal RNA (433 nucleotides) under uncultured bacterium. RNAcentral describes it as "partial 16S ribosomal RNA". It matches the Rfam family "Bacterial small subunit ribosomal RNA", at positions 29 to 507 of the family's 1533-position model. The record is from RNAcentral.
AACGAACGCUGGCGGCAUGCCUAACACAUGCAAGUCGAACGAAGGCUUCGGCCUUAGUGGCGCACGGGUGCGUAACGCGUGGGAAUCUGCCCUUUGGUUCGGAAUAACAGCUGGAAACGGCUGCUAAUACCGGAUGAUGACGAAAGUCCAAAGAUUUAUCGCCAGAGGAUGAGCCCGCGUUGGAUUAGGUAGUUGGUGGGGUAAAGGCCUACCAAGCCGACGAUCCAUAGCUGGUCUGAUAGGAUGAUCAGCCACACUGGGACUGAGACACGGCCCAGACUCCUACGGGAGGCAGCAGUGGGGAACAUUGGACAAGGGGCGCAAGCCUGAUCCAGCAAUGCCGCGUGAGUGAUGAAGGCCCUAGGGUUGUAAAGCUCUUUUACCCGGGAAGAGAAUGACUGUACCGGGAGAAUAAGCCCCGGCUAACUCCGUG